RNAcentral lists this unclassified non-coding RNA (265 nucleotides) under Hevea brasiliensis (rubber tree). Lineage: Eukaryota; Viridiplantae; Streptophyta; Magnoliopsida; Malpighiales; Euphorbiaceae. The record is from RNAcentral.
UUCCCAAUAACGUUGCAUUUAUUGGAGAAAUUGGCCUUGGCGGUGAGCUACGCACGGUACCUAGAAUGGAGAAAAGAGUAAAUACAGUGGCCAAACUGGGAUACAAAAUGUGUAUUGUUCCCAAAUCAGCUGAAAAAUAUCUAUCAACUGUAGGUUUUGAGGGGCUAAAAGUCAUCGGCUGUUCUAAUCUGAGACAAGUCAUUGACACUGUUUUCACGAGACAAAAUUGAAGUUGGGAGUAUUUUGCAAGAUGGACAGGGAACAG